GCACACACGAACACACGAACACAAGGCAGGUGGAGCCAGACAGCAGAGACAAAAAUCCCAGAAUGAAGGAAACGCCGCUGCAGCGCUAAACCAGUGUCGCUUCCUGUCUGGCCUCGGAGCUUUUCGCGGUUCCUAUUCAAUGACGGACCCACUCGACGAGUCAACAAUAGGGGCUGGUCGUUCCUAAACAACGGGGGAGGACUCCUACGGCCGCGCACGAUAUCAUUAUAUUCUUAUAGCUGUGUUCGACCCAACGAAAGUUUUCAGAGUUUGGGCGAUUUGUGUCCUGUUGACAACUUACUGCUUGUCUUUGACGCAGGGGAAAAAUCGUCCUUUGUUUCCGACUUAAAGUUGAUACUCGUGUGAUCGCUUUUGGGGAAAACGAUUUCGUGCUCGUGUGUGCAACAUUGUGCUAUUCGGCUUAUUCAAGAAUUUUGUAACUGAAUUCCUAACUGUUGUGAAUUUAUUGUGAUUUGUUCGAAUUGCUAUCCUGUGCGCUGUUUUGGAUUUCACCAAUCAAAAGAUCUACCGUGAUUUUUAUUCACGUGAGGAAAAAGUGGGAUCUCAAACCAAACAACACAGGCUUAAGCGUUUGGUUCUCCAGAUUCUUCUUUAUAGUUUCCCGUUAAGUUUACGAGUUUUUUCCUCGUUCGGCCGAGUAUGGCUCCACUCUAACUCCGAGAUUCCCCGGUCCAGGUGACAGAGACACGCUGUGAGGCUGUUGUUGGGUUGACAGAGGGGGUCACCGAUGACAUCACGCGUGUAGGUUGUACAAACGUAGUGGACCUUGUGUUUUAGGACCUUCUGGCUUGUGUGUGAGGGGGACGGAGCCUGCUGGUGUGACAACGCGGUCCACAUAAAAUUAUAUUUAAUUCUCCGUGCUCUAAUAGUCGUGAUCUGCGCUCUUCUUUGUGCUUGUUUCAGAGAAAUCUGUUUCUUAGAAGGAGUGUUUUAUUUAAAGUUGUCCAUUAUUUACUCGUGCUUGAUUUUUUGGAAAUGUUAUCUGCUGUGGAGUGGUUGUAAGAGGUUCAGUGAAUUUUUUUCUUACCUUAUGUGCGUGCGACACAAGUGUGAGUUUCAUUGAUUAAUCUCUUAUAAAGUGUCGAAUUUCAAAAUACACUGGAUUUAGCCGUUUAUUUUCAGUGAAAAUUAAAAGUGUUUCUUACAGAGCGGACUAACGAAACAGAAUGACCAUGCAAUCUGAAGUCAUUGCCGGGACUAAUUGCGCCCAGCAGCCACCUCCUACUGUUGGUCUAACAGUCGUACACACUCCAGGACACACUGCCGUACACACAACAGAACGCAGCACGCACAGCCUACUGGAGAGCAAUGCUUAUCACCAACAACAGCAGGCCAAAAAAAUGGCCGUAGCUGAUAACCUGAUCUGCAGAGCACAGCCAAAGAUUGAGCACUCUGCUGACGAGCCGGAUUCCGCCCAAACUGCGCACGGCACAGCGGAUCUCAGUAACUGUGUCGUCACUUCCGGAUCCCCGGCUGUGGCACCGACAUCUCCCGGGAUGCUGCGUAAUGGCUUGCCCUGUGACCUCGAGG
RNAcentral lists this long non-coding RNA (1551 nucleotides) under Aplysia californica (California sea hare). RNAcentral's name for it is "uncharacterized LOC118477678". The record is from RNAcentral. Lineage: Eukaryota; Metazoa; Mollusca; Gastropoda; Aplysiida; Aplysiidae.